UUAGAGUUUGAUCCUGGCUCAGGAUGAACGCUAGCGGCAGGCUUAACACAUGCAAGUCGAGGGGCAGCGAGAUCAGUGCCUGCACUGAUUGUCGGCGACCGGCGCACGGGUGCGUAACGCGUAUGCAACCUACCCAUUACAGGGGGAUAACACUGAGAAAUCGGUACUAAUACCCCAUAACAUCCAGGGAGGCAUCUUCUUGGGUUGAAAACUCCGGUGGUAAUGGAUGGGCAUGCGUUGUAUUAGUUAGUUGGUGGGGUAACGGCUCACCAAGACAACGAUACAUAGGGGGACUGAGAGGUUAACCCCCCACAUUGGUACUGAGACACGGACCAAACUCCUACGGGAGGCAGCAGUGAGGAAUAUUGGUCAAUGGACGCAAGUCUGAACCAGCCAUGCCGCGUGCAGGAAGACGGCUCUAUGAGUUGUAAACUGCUUUUGUACGAGGGUAAACGCAGAUACGCGUAUCUGUCUGAAAGUAUCGUACGAAUAAGGAUCGGCUAACUCCGUGCCAGCAGCCGCGGUAAUACGGAGGAUUCAAGCGUUAUCCGGAUUUAUUGGGUUUAAAGGGUGCGUAGGCGGUCGGAUAAGUUAGAGGUGAAAUCCCGGGGCUCAACUUCGGAAUUGCCUCUGAUACUGUUCGGCUAGAGAGUAGUUGCGGUAGGCGGAAUGUAUGGUGUAGCGGUGAAAUGCUUAGAGAUCAUACAGAACACCGAUUGCGAAGGCAGCUUACCAAGCUACUUCUGACGUUGAGGCACGAAAGCGUGGGGAGCAAACAGGAUUAGAUACCCUGGUAGUCCACGCAGUAAACAAUGAUAACUCGU
RNAcentral lists this ribosomal RNA (824 nucleotides) under uncultured bacterium. RNAcentral describes it as "bacterial SSU rRNA". It matches the Rfam family "Bacterial small subunit ribosomal RNA", at positions 1 to 820 of the family's 1533-position model. The record is from RNAcentral.